This 541-nucleotide ribosomal RNA is filed under the name Celeribacter sp. RNAcentral's name for it is "bacterial SSU rRNA". It matches the Rfam family "Bacterial small subunit ribosomal RNA", at positions 126 to 702 of the family's 1533-position model. The record is from RNAcentral. Lineage: Bacteria; Pseudomonadati; Pseudomonadota; Alphaproteobacteria; Rhodobacterales; Roseobacteraceae.
GUACCCUUCACUACGGAAUAGUCCCGGGAAACUGGGUUUAAUACCGUAUACGCCCUUCGGGGGAAAGAAUUUCGGUGAGGGAUCGGCCCGCGUUAGAUUAGUUAGUUGGUGGGGUAAUGGCCUACCAAGACUACGAUCUAUAGCUGGUUUGAGAGGAUGAUCAGCAACACUGGGACUGAGACACGGCCCAGACUCCUACGGGAGGCAGCAGUGGGGAAUCUUAGACAAUGGGGGCAACCCUGAUCUAGCGAUGCCGCGUGAGUGAUGAAGGCCUUAGGGUCGUAAAGCUCUUUCGCCUGUGAUGAUAAUGACAGUAGCAGGUAAAGAAACCCCGGCUAACUCCGUGCCAGCAGCCGCGGUAAUACGGAGGGGGUUAGCGUUGUUCGGAAUUACUGGGCGUAAAGCGCACGUAGGCGGAUUAGUCAGUCAGAGGUGAAAUCCCAGGGCUCAACCCUGGAACUGCCUUUGAUACUGCUAGUCUUGAGUUCGAGAGAGGUAAGUGGAAUUCCGAGUGUAGAGGUGAAAUUCGUAGAUAUUCGGA